Molecule: non-coding RNA, 26 nt
Filed under: Rattus norvegicus (Norway rat)
Lineage: Eukaryota; Metazoa; Chordata; Mammalia; Rodentia; Muridae
Source: RNAcentral
UGGAGAUUAGAAACAGUAGGGGAUUC